GCUGACGAGUGGCGGACGGGUGAGUAAUGUCUGGGAAACUGCCUGAUGGAGGGGGAUAACUACUGGAAACGGUGGCUAAUACCGCAUAACGUCGCAAGACCAAAGAGGGGGACCUUCGGGCCUCUUGCCAUCAGAUGUGCCCAGAUGGGAUUAGCUUGUUGGUGAGGUAACGGCUCACCAAGGCGACGAUCCCUAGCUGGUCUGAGAGGAUGACCAGCCACACUGGAACUGAGACACGGUCCAGACUCCUACGGGAGGCAGCAGUGGGGAAUAUUGCACAAUGGGCGCAAGCCUGAUGCAGCCAUGCCGCGUGUAUGAAGAAGGCCUUCGGGUUGUAAAGUACUUUCAGCGGGGAGGAAGGUGUUGUGGUUAAUAAGCGCAGCAAUUGACGUUACCCGCAGAAGAAGCACCGGCUAACUCCGUGCCAGCAGCCGCGGUAAUACGGAGGGUGCAAGCGUUAAUCGGAAUUACUGGGCGUAAAGCGCACGCAGGCGGUCUGUCAAGUCGGAUGUGAAAUCCCCGGGCUCAACCUGGGAACUGCAUUCGAAACUGG
RNAcentral lists this ribosomal RNA (553 nucleotides) under Salmonella enterica subsp. enterica serovar Newport. RNAcentral describes it as "bacterial SSU rRNA". It matches the Rfam family "Bacterial small subunit ribosomal RNA", at positions 87 to 636 of the family's 1533-position model. Lineage: Bacteria; Pseudomonadati; Pseudomonadota; Gammaproteobacteria; Enterobacterales; Enterobacteriaceae. The record is from RNAcentral.